Mugil cephalus (flathead mullet) is the source of this 333-nucleotide long non-coding RNA. RefSeq lists it as uncharacterized. NCBI's taxonomy places the organism in Eukaryota, Metazoa, Chordata, Actinopteri, Mugiliformes, Mugilidae. The record is from RefSeq and is a predicted model, not a curated record. The transcript has 2 exons.
GUCAGGAAUCACAUCAGUAAUGUCUCCAGAGGAGAGAGGAUCUCUACCUGUGGUGGAGAAACUUACUGUGAUGGCAGACAGAGUGGAGCUCAGUGUUAUGGAGCUUUGGAAGGAACUGUGGUCAUCAGACUGAUGGACAACGCCUUAGAAAUAUAUAGAUGGGAUGUGAAAAAGGGAUCAUCAGUAAUAUUAAGAUGGAGCAACGAAAUGGUUGUAACUAAUGUGAUCAAAGACAGAUCUGUCUUUAAUCUCAGUGAUGGAACAUUUAGUAUCAAUGACCUGAGCAGGAGUGACAGUGGUCAAUAUGAUCUGAUAAUCACUGACUCAAAUGGA